AGGAUGAACGCUGGCGGCGUGCUUAAUACAUGCAAGUCGAGCGGUAAGGCCCCUUCGGGGGUACACGAGCGGCGGACGGCUGAGUAACGCGUGGGAACGUACCCCGAAGUGAGGGAUAAGCACCAGAAAUGGUGUCUAAUACCGCAUGUGCUCUAAGGAGUAAAGCUCCGGCGCUUCGGGAACGGCCUGCGUCCGAUUAGCUUGUUGGUGAGGUAAUGGCUUACCAAGGCGACGAUCGGUAGCUGGUCUGAGAGGAUGACCAGCCAGACUGGGACUGAGAACGGCCCAGACUCCUACGGGAGGCAGCAGUAGGGAAUCUUGCACAAUGGGCGAAAGCCUGAUGCAGCGACGCCGCGUGAGGGAAGAAGGCUUUCGGGUUGUAAACCUCUUUCAGAAGGGACGAAGCUCCUCGGGUUAAUAGCCCAGAGGGUGACGGUACCUUCAGAAGAAGCCCCGGCUAACUACGUGCCAGCAGCCGC
RNAcentral lists this ribosomal RNA (479 nucleotides) under uncultured bacterium. RNAcentral describes it as "SSU rRNA". It matches the Rfam family "Bacterial small subunit ribosomal RNA", at positions 26 to 518 of the family's 1533-position model. The record is from RNAcentral.